This 494-nucleotide ribosomal RNA is filed under the name uncultured bacterium. RNAcentral describes it as "partial 16S ribosomal RNA". It matches the Rfam family "Bacterial small subunit ribosomal RNA", at positions 28 to 507 of the family's 1533-position model. The record is from RNAcentral.
GACGAACGCUGGCGGCGUGCUUAACACAUGCAAGUCGAACGGUGAAGCGCCUUCCUUUUUGGUGGGUGUGGAUGAGUGGCGAACGGGUGAGUAACACGUGAGUAACCUGCCCCCUUCUUCUGGAUAACCGCAUGAAAGUGUGGCUAAUACGGGAUAUUCUGUGUCUGUCGCAUGAUGGUUCUGGGAAAGAUUUUGUUUCGGUGGGGGAUGGUCUCGCGGCCUAUCAGCUUGUUGGUGGGGUGAUGGCCUACCAAGGCGGUGACGGGUAGCCGGCCUGAGAGGGUGGACGGUAACAGUGGGACGGAGAGACGGAGCAGACUACGAGAGGAGGCAGCAGUGAGGAAUAUGGCACAAUGGGCGGAAGGAUGAUGCAACGACGCGGCGUGAGGGAUGGAGGCCGUAGGGUUGUGAACCUCUUUAGGCAGUGAAGAAGGGCUGACUCGUUUGUGGGUGGGUUGACGGUAGCUGGAGAAGAAGCGACGGCUAACUACGUG